RNAcentral lists this ribosomal RNA (327 nucleotides) under uncultured fungus. Its description in RNAcentral is "partial small subunit ribosomal RNA". It matches the Rfam family "Eukaryotic small subunit ribosomal RNA", at positions 30 to 365 of the family's 1831-position model. Lineage: Eukaryota; Fungi. The record is from RNAcentral.
GCUUGUCUCAAAGAUUAAGCCAUGCAUGUCUAAGUAUAAACGCUUUUAUACUGUGAAACUGCGAAUGGCUCAUUAUAUCAGUUAUAGUUUAUUUGAUGGUCCUUACUACUUGGAUAACCGUAGUAAUUCUAGAGCUAAUACAUGCAUCAAUCCCCGACUUCUGGAAGGGGUGUAUUUAUUAGAUGGAAACCAAUGCGGGGCAACCCGGGAUCUGGUGAUUCAUAAUAACUUUCGGAUCGAUCGCAAGAUCGAUGCAUCAUUCAAGUUUCUGCCCUAUCAGCUUUGGAUGGUAGGGUAUUGGCCUACCAUGGCUUUAACGGGUAACGG